This 206-nucleotide unclassified non-coding RNA is filed under the name Hevea brasiliensis (rubber tree). Lineage: Eukaryota; Viridiplantae; Streptophyta; Magnoliopsida; Malpighiales; Euphorbiaceae. The record is from RNAcentral.
GAAAGAUGAAGUAGAGAAGUAGAAAGUAAUCCUCGCUCUAUAAGCUGAAUAGAGAAAAAUGAUGCUUCCGGAGGUCGGUUUGCCAAAGCCAUGUGCCUCAAGAAAAUGGUAGUGGCUUGUCUUCCUGCAACUGAUACAUCUUGAUUAUCGUAGAACUGACAAACAAGGGUUAAGCCUGACUGGUUUUCAACGUUGUUGUUGUUGCU